Molecule: non-coding RNA, 2112 nt
Organism: Prunus mume (Japanese apricot)
Lineage: Eukaryota; Viridiplantae; Streptophyta; Magnoliopsida; Rosales; Rosaceae
Source: RefSeq, a predicted model, not a curated record
UGGGGUAACUUCUGCCUAACAUGCUUCCCUCCCAACGGUCAAGACAUGUUCUCCACAACCCCUUCCUUCUCAAAUUUCUACACUUUCCCGCGACCCAAACAAGACCAUUGAACACACUCUCUUCCCUCUUGAACCUCUGCAACGAUCCCAAAAAACUCCAGCAAAUCCACGCCAGGUUCGUCCUUCAUGGUCUGCACCAAAACCCAACACUCUCAUCCAAACUCAUCGACUGCUAUGCCAACCUUGGCGUCCUCAGUCUUUCCCAACAAGUCUUCAACUCUGUCAGUGACCGAAGUUCCCUUCUGUAUAAUACAAUCUUAAGAAAGUGGCCAGGGUGUGGUGAAUUUGAGAGAACCCUUUUGGUUUACAAUGAAAUGGUUAUGAAAUCUAUGUACCCAGAGGGAAAUACUUACCCUUAUGUUUUGAAGUCAUGUUCUUGGUGUUCAGAUGCUAGAAAUGGGGCAAAGAUUCACGGGCAUGUGGUGAAAUUGGGUUUUGAUUCAUAUGAUCUGGUGGGUGCUGCUUUGGUUGAUAUGUAUAGAAGCUAUGGUAAUUUUGAAAAUGAGGGAAAGCAAUGGAAUUCUCUGACUUCUGAGGGUUCACAAAGCGGAAAAGCAAUAGAGAAAUUUGAACCUGAUUCAGUUACUGUGAUUAACUUGCUGAGGUCAAGUGUGGAUUUGAACUCAUUGCAGGUGGGAAAGGCUGUUCAUUGUUUGGUUGUUGUGAGCAAUUUGUGUGUGGAUUUGUCUGUGAAUACUGCAUUGUUGUCUAUGUAUGCCAAGUUAGGUGAUUUAGAAUAUGCCAAAUUGGUAUUUGAAGAAAUGCCUGAGAAGGACUCUGUUGUUUGGAAUAUAAUGAUAUCAGCUUAUUCUCGAAUUGGGUACCCUAAGGAAUCACUGGAGCUACUAAGAUGCAUGGGAAGUUCAGGCAUUAGAGCUGAUUUAUUUACUGCAAUCCCUGCAAUUUCUUCAAUUACACAGUUAAGAGCUACUGAUUGGGGAAAACAAAUGCAUGCUCAUGUGAUAAGAAAUGGUUCAGAUUAUCAAGUGUCCGUUCAUAAUUCUCUGAUUGACAUGUACUGUGGAUGUGAUCGGCUAAAUUCGGCUCGAAAGGUUUUUGAUGUUGUGACAAACAAGACUGUUGUUUCAUGGAGUGCAAUGAUUAAAGGAUAUGUCAAUCAUGAUCAGUCACUUGAUGCUCUUUCUCUCUUCUCCAAGAUGAAAUCUGAGGGAAUCAGUGUCGAUUUCAUUACAGUUAUUAACAUCUUGCCUGCUUGUGUGAAUCUAGGGGCACUAGAGAAUGUAAAAUACCUUCAUGGGUACUCGGUGAAACUUAGCCUCAACUCACUUUCGUCUGUUAAUACGGCAUUUCUAGUCAGCUAUGCAAAAUGUGGAUGCAUAGAGAUGGCCUGGAAGCUUUUUGAUGAAGAGAAUAUCAAUGAUAAAGAUCUAGUCACAUGGAACUCUAUGAUUGGUGCGUAUGCUAAGCAUGGAGACUGGGAUCGAUCUUUUGAGUUGUAUAACCAAAUGAAGGAACUGAGAUUGAAACCAGAUCAAGUAACCUUUCUUGGAGUACUGACAGCCUGCGUAAACGCAGGUCUUGUUCAAGAAGGGAAGGAGUGUUUCAAGGAGAUGGUUGAGACAUAUAAUUGUCGACCAAGCCAGGAACACUAUGCUUGCAUGGUGGAUCUACUAGGGCGUGCUGGGCAUGUCAAUGAAGCCAGAGAACUUGUAAAAUCUAUGCCUUUCAAACCUGAUGCUCGGGUAUGGGGCCCUUUGUUAAGUGCUUGUAAGUUGCAUUCAGAGCCUGGGGUUGCAGAGUUUGCUGCUGAGAAGCUUAUAACCAUGGAACCGAAAAAUGCUGGAAAUUACAUAUUGCUUGCCAACAUAUAUGCUGCAGCUGGAAAGUGGGAUGGAGUUGCUAAGAUGAGGAGUUUCCUCAGGGAUAGAGGACUAAAGAAAACUCCCGGUUGUAGCUGGGUAGAGAUAAAUGGAUGUCUACAUGAGUUCCGAGUAGCGGAUCGAUCUCAUCCAAGAUCAGAUGGUAUAUAUACCAUAUUAAGAAACCUGGAGUGGGAAAUCAAGGAUGCAAGAGACAGAGAUGGAGUAUUGA